RNAcentral lists this ribosomal RNA (435 nucleotides) under Triticum aestivum (bread wheat). RNAcentral's name for it is "partial small subunit ribosomal RNA". Lineage: Eukaryota; Viridiplantae; Streptophyta; Magnoliopsida; Poales; Poaceae. The record is from RNAcentral.
AUGAGGGCCUUAUUCUGGAACAUUAGAUGUUUCGGCGCUAGGGGGCGCAGGGACCAGCUUAAAGACUUGGUGCGGUCUGAAAAUGUGGAUUUUAUUGGCCAUGUCGAGACUAUCAAAUCUUCCUUCUCCUCUAGUGAACUAUUGGCCAUUGCUGGGAUAGAUAGAUUUAAUUGGAACUUUGUGGCCUCAGAUGGUCACUCGGGUGGUAUUCUCCUUGGUACCAAAAAAGAUAUUUUUGAUUUUGUUGCUUUUGACCAUGGCAUCUUUUGGGCUAGCACGGUGGUAUCUCACCGAUCUCUCAACUCUUUACUAGAAAUCAUGGUGGUAUAUGGUCCGACUGACCACUCUAUGUCUUACGUCGUUUUGGACGAACUUAGUACUAAAAUUGAGUCCUGUCAGCUGCCUCUCCUGAUUGGGGGCGAUUUUAACUUGUUG